GCUGGAAUUCCAAACGGAGGUGUUUUUCUCCUUAAAAGGAGAAUUGAUCAAUGACCUCGAGAUUUCCAGGAACCUAGCAUUUGUUGCUGACCUCUAUGUUAAUGAUUGUUUUCUGAAUGAUGACAGAACCGAUUCUUGCGUAGUCGGAGUCUCUAAGUUCUUACGACCAUCUGUGGCAGGAUUCCUUGUAUAAAAGGUUCAUGUGUUCCAGAUUUUGGGAACAACUUCACCAAGGUGCUUCAAAUAAUGGAGACAACUUUUUCUAGUUUCUUCCACCUUUGGAGACAACUUGAGCAAGUUGCUACCACCUUUGAAGACAACUUGUGGGAUAUUCUAGUUGCAUUUGGAGUUGUUCCUGGUGAAUAUGGUGAUAUUUGGCGUUGGUUUCUGAAUAAUUUGAAGACAAUCCUCAAUGUUUGAUCGUCCAUUGACCAUCAUACCGUAGGAAG
Molecule: long non-coding RNA, 449 nt
Organism: Papaver somniferum (opium poppy)
Lineage: Eukaryota; Viridiplantae; Streptophyta; Magnoliopsida; Ranunculales; Papaveraceae
Exons: 3
Source: RefSeq, a predicted model, not a curated record